This 494-nucleotide ribosomal RNA is filed under the name uncultured bacterium. RNAcentral's name for it is "bacterial SSU rRNA". It matches the Rfam family "Bacterial small subunit ribosomal RNA", at positions 28 to 517 of the family's 1533-position model. The record is from RNAcentral.
GAUGAACGCUAGCGGCAGGCUUAACACAUGCAAGUCGAGGGGUAGAAGCAGCUUGCUGCUUUGAGACCGGCGCACGGGUGCGUAACGCGUAUGCAAUCUACCUUUUACAGAGGGAUAGCCCAGAGAAAUUUGGAUUAAUACCUCAUAGUAUGUGAGAAUCGCAUGGUUUUCACAUUAAAGUUCCAACGGUAAAAGAUGAGCAUGCGUCCCAUUAGCUAGAUGGUAAGGUAACGGCUUACCAUGGCGACGAUGGGUAGGGGUCCUGAGAGGGAGAUCCCCCACACUGGUACUGAGACACGGACCAGACUCCUACGGGAGGCAGCAGUGGGGAAUUUUGGACAAUGGACGCAAGUCUGAUCCAGCCAUUCCGCGUGCAGGAUGAAGGCCCUCGGGUUGUAAACUGCUUUUGUACGGAACGAAAAGGUUUCUAUUAAUACUAGGAGCUCAUGACGGUACCGUAAGAUAAGCACCGGCUAACUACGUGCCAGCAGCCG